GACGAACGCUGGCGGCGUGCUUAACACAUGCAAGUCGAACGGAAAGGCCCCUUUGGGGGUACUCGAGUGGCGAACGGGUGAGUAACACGUGAGUAACCUGCCCUUGACUUCGGGAUAACUUCAGGAAACUGGGACUAAUACCGGAUAGGAAUCCUUGCUGCAUGGUGGGGGUUGGAAAGCUUCGGCGGUUUUGGAUGGACUCGCGGCUUAUCAGCUUGUUGGUGGGGUAGUGGCUUACCAAGGCUUUGACGGGUAGCCGGCCUGAGAGGGCGACCGGCCACAUUGGGACUGAGAUACGGCCCAGACUCCGACGGGAGGCAGCAGGGGGGAAGAUUGCACAAGGGGCGGAAGCCUGAUGCAGCAACGCCGCGGGCGGGAUGACGGCCUUCGGGUUGUAAACCGCUUUCAGCAGGGGCGAAGCUUGUGGUGACGGUACCUGCAGAAGAAGCACCGGCUAACUACGUG
This 465-nucleotide ribosomal RNA is filed under the name uncultured bacterium. RNAcentral describes it as "partial 16S ribosomal RNA". It matches the Rfam family "Bacterial small subunit ribosomal RNA", at positions 28 to 507 of the family's 1533-position model. The record is from RNAcentral.